Molecule: ribosomal RNA, 466 nt
Filed under: uncultured bacterium
Lineage: Bacteria
Description: partial 16S ribosomal RNA
Rfam family: Bacterial small subunit ribosomal RNA
Source: RNAcentral
AUGAACGCUGGCGGCGCGCCUAACACCUGCCAGUCGAACGAUUAAAGCACCUUCGGGUGUGUAUAAAGUGGCGAACGGCUGAGUAACACGUGGGCAACCUGCCCCUUUCAUUGGGAUAGCCACGGGAAACCGUGGAUAAUACCGAAUACUUCGAGACUUCCGCAUGGAAGACUCGAGAAAGCUCCGGCGGAGAGGGAUGGGCCCGCGGCCUGUUAGCUUGUUGGUGGGGUAACGGCCUACCAAGGCAAUGAUGGGUAGCUGGGUUGAGAGACCGACCAGCCAGAUUGGGACUGAGACACGGCCCAGACUCCUACGGGAGGCAGCAGUGGGGAAUCUUGCACAAUGGGCGAAAGCCUGAUGCAGCGACGCCGCGUGCGGGAUGAAGGCCUUCGGGUUGUAAACCGCUUUCAGCAGGGACGAGGCGAAAGUGACGGUACCUGCAGAAGAAGCCCCGGCUAACUACGUG